Molecule: long non-coding RNA, 341 nt
Organism: Eleginops maclovinus (Patagonian blennie)
Lineage: Eukaryota; Metazoa; Chordata; Actinopteri; Perciformes; Eleginopidae
Exons: 4
Source: RefSeq, a predicted model, not a curated record
UUUUUAUCACGGCGGAAAUGGAUGUUAAAACCGUUGCUGGGAAACACAUUACAUUACCAACGUCCCGGUGGACAUACAACACCACUGUCACUUGAAGAAGAGAUGGGCCGAAUUCGCCUGUAAAGAGGCGACAUGAUACAGCUGUGUCCACAGUCUCUCCACAUCAGCACAUUGAGGAGUACAGAACACACACGGAGACGAGGAUUGAAGACGCUCAGCGGUAAUUAAGCCACUAAGUGAAUCUGAAACGGGCGAGUCAUGGGGCGAGUGCCACAGCAGCAUUAUGAGACGAGAACAACAGACACAGGAUGACAAGAGCUUGUUGGAACAAUGCAGGGAAU